UACAGAGGGGGCAAGCGUUGUUCGGAAUUACUGGGCGUAAAGGGCGCGUAGGCGGCCUGUUAAGUCGAACGUGAAAUCCCCGGGCUCAACCCGGGAACUGCGUCCGAUACUGGCAGGCUUGAAUCCGGGAGAGGGAUGCGGAAUUCCAGGUGUAGCGGUGAAAUGCGUAGAGAUCCGGAGGAACACCGACGGCGUAGGCAGCGCCCUGGACGACACCUGACGCUGAGGCACGAAAGCUGGGGGAGCGAACAGG
Molecule: ribosomal RNA, 253 nt
Filed under: uncultured bacterium
Lineage: Bacteria
Description: partial 16S ribosomal RNA
Rfam family: Bacterial small subunit ribosomal RNA
Source: RNAcentral